RNAcentral lists this ribosomal RNA (380 nucleotides) under uncultured bacterium. Its description in RNAcentral is "bacterial SSU rRNA". It matches the Rfam family "Bacterial small subunit ribosomal RNA", at positions 29 to 400 of the family's 1533-position model. The record is from RNAcentral.
AAUGAACGCUGGCGGCGCGCCUAAUACAUGCAAGUCGAGCGAGAAGACGUAGCAAUACGUUUGUAAAGCGGCGAACGGGUGAGGAAUACAUGGGUAACCUACCCUCGAGUGGGGAAUAACUAGCCGAAAGGUUAGCUAAUACCGCGUACGCUUCUUGGACUUCGGUUCAGGGAGGAAAGCGAUACCGUGGGUAUCGCGCUCUUGGAUGGGCUCAUGUCCUAUCAGCUUGUUGGUGAGGAACGGCUCACCAAGGCUUCGACGGGUAGCUGGUCUGAGAGGACGAUCAGCCACACUGGCACUGCGACACGGGCCAGACUCCUACGGGAGGCAGCAGUAAGGAAUAUUGCGCAAUGGGCGAAAGCCUGACGCAGCGACGCCGC